Gallus gallus (chicken) is the source of this 1998-nucleotide long non-coding RNA. RefSeq lists it as uncharacterized. The transcript has 3 exons. NCBI's taxonomy places the organism in Eukaryota, Metazoa, Chordata, Aves, Galliformes, Phasianidae. The record is from RefSeq and is a predicted model, not a curated record.
UGUCUCAGUUUAAAGCCAUUCCCCCUUGUCCUAAAUUACUUAAAGAGACUGCAGCCUUGACUUCAGCUUAGCUUGUAUACAGGACCUAUGGCUUGGAUAACAGUUUGGUUAAUAAAUGACAGCAAGAAGUCUCAGAAGGUGUGGAAGGAAACCUGAAACCAUUUCUACAGAUGGGUGUUAGGAAAGGCAGUGACUCUGCUCACACCAAACCAGUUCUUGGAUUUCACCCUGUGCAGACCAAGCGCACCCCCAGGGCUUCCUGCCGAUGCUCCACGGGCAGCACAUGUGGCAGCAGUGUGCUCGUGGGCAGGCACGUGGCGUGCUGCUGCACCGGAGGGACACUCGUGGCCAUGGGGAGCUGCAGGUGCUUCCUGUGAGUCUAUUCACGUGAGUGAGGGCUUCUAUGUGUUUCUCUCUCAGGUAGCUGUAAGGGCCCUGCAGCAGCGUUUGGUGCCAGCCGGUUCAACAGCUGCCGCCAAAGCCACCAGCGGUAGUGCUGUGCUCUGAAGGAUUCUGAGAAGAGCUGUGAGAACAUACAAAAGUCACAGACACACCUGAUGGUGAGAGCCCUGCAGCCCGGCCUGCUUCAUUCCAUGUGCCGCAGCCUGAGCGCUGUCACCAAGUGCCUACAAGGAGAACGGCAGCGGGAUAAUAGGAAGCCUUUCGAACUACCAGAAAUUUCUUCUUGGCUGUAGAGGAAGCACAAGGAGAUUAAGCUUGCUGGGCUAAAGAAAGUGAAUCCACUGCUGUGAGUACAGAAUCUCAGAACUGGAGGGGAUGGAAGGGACCUCUGGAGAUCAUCCAGUCCAAAAGCUCCAUUAACAGCAUGAAAGCUUUUAUUCAGAAUAUGACAAAUGGGAUUUCUGUGACCUCAGCUCAGCUCCAUCUGCUGAUAGAGACAUUAUUUUUGGCUGCAAUACCACUAUCACUUUAAAUAAUUUAGAUUGGAAACAUUCAGGAUGAAUUUCACAAGGAGAUGCUUGUGUUGGAAACCAUGAAGUUUCCUAUGGCAUCCAGAGCUGGGACACUGUCUAGAAGGAAGAAGCUUCCACUCCCUCUCAUACAUAAGGAAAGGCUGUGCAUGUCUACUUGAGAAUCUCAGCUACUGCAGUGACUGCAGCGCAGUGCAGACUUCCAAGCUAACUUCAGAUUAGCUGGCUGAGACCCACUAGAAAUGUAGCUUUGGCACAUGAGUCCCUGUAGAUAUGCCUGUCCGGUCACUCUGGCUGAUGGCAAUGUGAGCCAUCAGUUCAGUUCUUGGACUGUGAACUCAAGCAGUGAAAAAAAAUCAUGACAGGCUGAAAACAAAUAAAAGAUCCACAAACUGUGCUCUUUGACCCUCAGACAGCAAAGUGCAGUGUUUUUUCACAGACUUGAGACAUGCUUGCUAGCAAGAAAAUUCCUGAAAGUGAAAACUGUCGUGGAACCGUCAAUCUGCAAGAAUGUUGGUUUGGAGGAAAAAAAACUGGCAUUGCAAAGCUUGCUGCAAACUGAGAGCGGCUGACAACGUUUGAAUUGAAGAAACUGAGGACCCUUUUGAUCCUGGAUUUGUUGCAUGCUUAUGUUUCUGUUAACACCCACUACAGCCAGUGCCUGGUCCAUUUCCAUCCAUUCAAAAUAUAAAAUGUCUCCCGUUAUAGUCAGCGAUGGUGGGUUUCUGAAUCACUGUAUAGAUGGGGCACUGGAAAGACUGCUAGUUUUAGCUUUUAGAAAGCACCCAGCACUUAGACUUUGUAAAUCACUGGAAGCUCAGUACAAACAGUUACUGAAAUGGCUGAAGAAGUUGUCCAUCUUGUUCUCAGAGCACCAUGCUUUUAUUGCCGAAUGUACCAUCACACUGACAGUAUAACUAAGUUUCAAUGAAAAACAAAAUAAUGGAGAUCAAAUUCACAUCCCACCCUUGGGAAUUUCUACCUAGCAAAGCUGGAAGAGCUGUGAUGAAGAGAGCUGCACAGCUGCUACCCACAUUAAAUAUUUUGGUGGAGGAAAAUCACCCUA